UACGGGGGGAGCAAGCGUUGUUCGGAUUUACUGGGCGUAAAGGGCGCGUAGGCGGCCAGCACAAGUCAGUUGUGAAAUCUCCGAGCUUAACUCGGAAAGGUCAACUGAUACUGUGCGGCUAGAGUGCGGAAGGGGCAACUGGAAUUCUUGGUGUAGCGGUGAAAUGCGCAGAUAUCAGGAGGAACACCGGUGGCGAAGGCGGAUCUCUGGGCCUUACCUGACGCUGAGGCGCGAAAGCUAGGGGAGCGAACAGG
RNAcentral lists this ribosomal RNA (254 nucleotides) under uncultured bacterium. Its description in RNAcentral is "partial 16S ribosomal RNA". It matches the Rfam family "Bacterial small subunit ribosomal RNA", at positions 524 to 776 of the family's 1533-position model. The record is from RNAcentral.